AUUGAACGCUGGCGGCAUGCUUUACACAUGCAAGUCGGACGGCAGCGCGGGCUUCGGCCUGGCGGCGAGUGGCGAACGGGUGAGUAAUACAUCGGAACGUGCCCAGUAGUGGGAGAUAGCUCGGCGAAAGCCGGAUUAAUACCGCAUACGACCUGAGGGUGAAAGCGGGGGACUUUAGGGCCUCGCGCUAUUGGAGCGGCCGAUGGCAGAUUAGCUAGUUGGUGGGGUAAAGGCCUACCAAGGCGACGAUCUGUAGCUGGUCUGAGAGGACGACCAGCCACACUGGGACUGAGACACGGCCCAGACUCCUACGGGAGGCAGCAGUGGGGAAUUUUGGACAAUGGGCGCAAGCCUGAUCCAGCAAUGCCGCGUGUGUGAUGAAGGCCUUCGGGUUGUAAAGCACUUUUGGCAGGAACGAAAAGUGCCGUGCUAAUACCACGGUACGAUGACGGUACCUGCAGAAUAAGCACCGGCUAACUACGUG
Molecule: ribosomal RNA, 484 nt
Filed under: uncultured bacterium
Lineage: Bacteria
Description: partial 16S ribosomal RNA
Rfam family: Bacterial small subunit ribosomal RNA
Source: RNAcentral